UGGAAACUGAAGCUGGGUGGAAAUCUGAAGCUACUGGAAGCCUAGCAGUCCUCAAGUGAAAGCUCAAACACUUUAAAUCGUACAGGGAACGGGCUCCCCAAGAAAGGGAACGUCUGAAAAGAUUUAAAGGAAGUACUCUUCAAGACAGAAGAGACAUGGAUAUUGUUUUAGGGCCCAGGAAGGAGACAGGAUUCACCUGAAGAGGCUGGGCCAGAGCAGUGAGCCGGCCAUGUGCUUCCAGGGACUGCAAGCAUUGACAUCACCUGCAGCAGCUGCUUGCCACUUUUUCCUUCUGUUGGGCACCAGGUUUCCACGUGCUGCUGGACCAUAGUUUGAGACUACACACCCCCAUCUGGACCCUAUUAAAAUGCAUCUCUUGACCAGUCACAGGAGGAGCCUGGGAGGGGGAGGAGAAGUCAAGGGAGAGGAGAAGUCAAGACAAGUUGACCUCAAAGGUACCACGGAAAAGUAAUGAUUAACACUGCUGCAGUCUGGGAACAGUUUAUUCAACUGCGGUGAC
RNAcentral lists this long non-coding RNA (520 nucleotides) under Bos taurus (domestic cattle). RNAcentral's name for it is "long non-coding RNA NONBTAT008114". Lineage: Eukaryota; Metazoa; Chordata; Mammalia; Artiodactyla; Bovidae. The record is from RNAcentral.